AUUAUACCCAAAUUUGAUCAGGGGAGACCCCUGAAGGUCUUGGCUACAGACAGCAAGAAAGAAAUCAUGAUGGCCAAUACCAGGUGACGUGGUGCUGAUCCCUCUCCAAGGGAACAUCUCUGAGACUGCCUGCGACUUGAAAAUCUCCCUCCAGCAUCGAGUUUGCUGGCAGGAUGCCAUGCUUCCUGCUGUGAUGAUGAACUGAACCUCUGAAACUAUAAAUGAACUCUAAUUAAAUGUUUUCUUUUACAAGAGUUGCCUUUGUUGUAGUGUCCCUUCGCAGCAAUGAAACCCAACCUAAGACAGUUAUACAGUCCAAACUAACUUGUAAAGACGACAGGUACCUUUCACCCGGUCAUACAAAGAGCAGAGAAUCAUAUUUCACAGAUCUGUGUAUAUUUCAAAUUCCAUACAUGUAUUAAUACAAAAAUAUAGCUACCUCUGAAAGUUAUAUUUUUACAGAGUAAGACAUCCAGAUACCAGUGAGUUGGAGCAGCCCUGACAGGAUUCUGAGAAGGAUGCUGAGAUACUGAGACUGUUUAUUCCAGCAUCCAACUUGAUCCAACCUUAGACUGCCUUAAUAGCUGUUUUAUCCAAACUUGCUUCAAGGACAGCUUCAAAGAAAGGUGCUGACAUCAGAAGACCCCAAAUGAUCCAGCCUCACAGACUGUUUCAGUCAGGACUUCAUUUAAGACUGCGCUUUUGUGACACACAGAGACUGGACAGCAAUUGUUACAGCGAGCUUUCUUAAGACUGGCCAGUAGCUCAAUUUUCUUGCCCUACCCUCAAUGGAAAAAAGAUGCCUCGGACAUCAAGAAGCAAUUUUAAUGACUCUCUAACUCUCAAAACAUGGGGUGGGUGGUUUUGCUCAUUUGUUGGAUGGUGAUCAUUCUUAAAAGGAUGUUGGUUACAAGUUGUUAAUGGUCUUGAUCAGGGAGGAAACAAGGUAUAGGUGAUUAGACUCAGGGAUUUCUCUCUUCCUUUUUCUUUCCUCUGUCCUUUCUUGUCAGGUGUUAAUGGGGAGAAGGGUUGAAAAGUGCUGGCAGAAUAUAGGAAUAAUAUAUUAAUAUGAUAUAAUUAAUAUAAUAUAAUAAUAGACAUAUGGUUAGGUUAUUGAAUCUACUCUUAAACUAUAGAGUUAUUUUUAGCCAAAAAUCUUACAAUGAUAUAGAUCAUUGUAUAUUGAUAUGAAAUUAAGGUUAUAUUUGCUUAAAAUAUAGUAUGUAAGUUACAAUUUCUAUUUAAGAUAUUGAACCUAUGCAGUUCAUUUUAAAAUACAAUGUGGAGUUCUAGACCUUGAAAUCUGCUAUUACAAAAUAUUUAGGAUAAUUAAGAAAUGUUAGUUGAUAGUCAGGUAAUCAAAUUCAUCUAGAUAGUAGUCUAGUUAAUUACAGAAAGAUGUUUUCAAAGUUGAACAGAUAGUAAAUAUCUAGAAACAAAGAAUGUAUGCCUAUUCAGAUAUACUAUAGUUAGAGAGCUGGUCUUCCAAAACUUCAGAGAUCCACAGAUUGUGGCACUUAAAGAUAUUUUAUUAAUUAAAGGCUUUUCUAGACAUGUCAGCUCCUGGAAGCACCCCUGUUCUACUUUUAAAAAGAUGCUGAGCAUCCAAGAAUCUCCAUAUGGAGUUUGCUUUAGAAUUGGUAAGCUGGGGCUGGAGAGAUGGCUCAGCGGUUAAGAGCAUUACUUGCUCUUCCAGAGGCCCUGAGUUCAAUUCCCAGCAACCACAUGGGGUGGCUCACAACCAUCUGUAGUGGGAUCUGAUGCCCUCUCCUGGGUGUAGGAGGAGAAGAAGAAG
Molecule: long non-coding RNA, 1795 nt
Filed under: Mus musculus (house mouse)
Lineage: Eukaryota; Metazoa; Chordata; Mammalia; Rodentia; Muridae
Description: long non-coding RNA chr7:24183898-24185693
Source: RNAcentral